Oncorhynchus tshawytscha (Chinook salmon) is the source of this 3562-nucleotide long non-coding RNA. The record is from Ensembl. NCBI's taxonomy places the organism in Eukaryota, Metazoa, Chordata, Actinopteri, Salmoniformes, Salmonidae.
GAAAACCUAGACCCCAACCAUUGUGAGCGCGGGCUGAAAAAGCCCACGUCCUUUCUGGAGAUGAAAAGCGAGGACCAAGCAUAAUAUCCAGAAUAAGACCAAGAGGGAGGAGGAUGCAGCUCCGGUCCCUGUGUCUGACGCCACCAGAGAACCACCAGAGACCAGGAUGUCAAAGAAGAAGAAGACUUCCCGAGACCACCUGCCACACAGGAUGCAGAGAAGUUUCAUGAUGGCCCAACUAACACCAGUAGCCCCAAUACCAUCCCAAAGAGAAUGUGCCUUUUCCCAACCCUGUGAGUAAACAGAGUUACACGGUUCAAUUAAAUGAACAAUUCAUGAUUUGUGAGUGUGACUGUGCAUUUGACCACCUGCUUCAGGAUGUCUGAGCCAGACACAGUCCCUCUCUCUGAGCCAGACCCAGUCCCUCUCUCUGAGUCAGACCCAGUCCCUCUCUCUGAGCUAGAUCCAGUUCCUCUCUCUGAGCCAGAUCCAGUUCCAUCUCUCUGAGCCAGACCCAGUCCAUCUCUCUGAGCCAGACCCAGUCCAUCUCUCUGAGCCAGACCCAGUCCAUCUCUCUGAGCCAGACCCAGUCCAUCUCUCUGAGCCAGACCCAGUCCAUCUCUCUGAGCCAGACCCAGCCAGACCCAGUCCCUCUCUCUGAGCCAGACCCAGUCCCUCUCUCUGAGCCAGACCCAGUCCCUCUCUCUGAGCCAGACCCAGUCCCUCUCUAUGAGCCAGACCCAGUCCCUGUCUCUGAGCCAGACCCAGUAUUUCUCUCUGAGCCAGAUCCAGUCCCUCUCUCUGAGCCACAUCCAGUCCCUCUCUCUGAGCCACAUCCAGUCCCUCUCUCUGAGCCACAUCCAGUCCCUCUCUCUGAGCCAGACCCAGUCCCUCUCUCUGAGCCAGUCCCUCUCUCUGAGCCAGACCCAGUCCCUCUCUCUGAGCCAGACCCAGUCCCUCUCUCUGAGCCAGACCCAGUCCCAGUCCCCUCUCUGAGCCAGACCCAGUCCCUCUCUCUGAGCCAGACCCAGACCCAUUCCCUCUCUCUGAGCCAGACCCAUUCCCUCUCUCUGAGCCAGACCCAUUCCCUUUCUCUGAGCCAGACCCAGUCCCUCUCUGAGCCAGAUCCAGUCCCUCUCUGAUCCAGACACAGUCCCUUUCUCUGAGCCAGACCCAGUAUCUCUCUCUGAUCCAGCAGAGACCAGCAAGCCCCAGCAGAAGGCAGGAAUCUUCAACCCACCUGCCACAAAGUGACUGAAGAGGACCAGAAAGUUGGAGCCAGCCUCAGGCCUUCUCUCUGAGUCACCAGAAAGCAUGAAGUCAAAGGAAAUGGAGAUCCCAGGUCCACCUGCCCAAAGAGACUUAAGAGGACCAGGUCACUCUCCAGUUCUCAUAUUAUAGUCACACUAUUAUGUAGUGUUAUUAUAUUAUUAUGUAGUUGGAGCCAGCCCCUCUCUCUGAACUUCCAGACACCAGGAAGUCAAAGAAGAAGAAAAUAAUCCUUGGCCCACCUGCCAGUCAGCAAGUGAAGAGAUCCAGAUUUCCUCCCAGCCCCUGGACCACUAACCCAGUGAAGACUAGACGUAGGCCACCUUCAGCCACACCCCCUACCUGUGAGAUAGGUGUAACUACAUUUACCUUGAGAUCGAAGGUAGCGACAAGCCCUACCUUGAAGUCAGGUGUAGUCACAUCCCCAUCUAGCGGUGAAGCCUUUUCCACAUCCCCUGAGAGGAAGAACAGGAAGAGGGCUAGGUGCUGUCAUGACAUUGGCCUCUUUGGGUAUAGCAAGCCCAUCCCCCUCUCCCUGCCUCCACAGGUUGCUAUGGUCAGAGAGACAUCAUAAAUUCCUGAGAAUCUCCUUAUGGACACACAGUAUAGAGAGAGUAGAUUUUCAUGGAGAACAAAGUUAAUAAUUUCACCUCACAGAACUUGAGGUACACGACAAAUGUCAUGUUCCGGAGAAAGUAUAAAAGAUUGGUGAAGAAUCCAGCUACGAACUGGUCCGUUUGUCACAACUUGGGGUAGCUCAUGGGAGACGGUGUGGCCACAUUACCAUAACGCUGUUUAUAUAAUAGCCUCAGAUAUAAGGUUUACAUCUAAUUGUUGUAUAAGAUGAAUGAGUAGGUAUGAUACUGUUUGUAUAAUUGUGUAAUAUGAUUUUGGACUGUUUAAUGAAGAAAAAUACAAUUCCCUUUUGAUUUGAACUAAAUCAGAGGACCGCCCCUGAGCCCAGUUGGGGUCAGGCCUCCUGGGACAGCCCCUUUUCUGCCAUUCUAAAUAAAACCCAAUUUUGAGAAAUUGUCAGCAGACCGAGCUUACCUCAAUUACGAGAUGGCUAAAGGUUGCAGACCAUGUUUUUCUCCAUUAGGAGGACAAAGGUUGUAGACCAUUGCUGAAUCUUUUAACCAUACCACGUGGUUAAACUCUUAGACUAUCGAUACAGAAUAAGAACAAGUCUUUGAUAUUAAUUACUAGUCUGCAGCUAGGAAUUCGGUAUCAUUGAACGCGAAGAACGACAACCGCCAUAACACCCAUUCUAUAACGAAUGUCACUCUGAACAAUCCCCUUUAACCACAACCGAGAGAGCGAGGGAGAGAGACGGACAAUUCUACAAAAGAAAUUAACUUUUCACUAGCGAUCAACACGACACACUGAGCAGGGCCACCCAGGGCAGGAAGCCCUGUGUGUGGUGUAAAUGGGAGAAAGAGUGGAUGAACACCAUCUGGCAGUGUGAGGCCUGUCCCGUGGCCCUCUGUCUCAUACCGGGCAGAAACUGCUUCAGGACCUGGCACAAGACUCACAAGUGGAACGAGGAAGUCAUCUUCAGUCUGUUUUCUUAAAUGUUGUCAAAUAUGUGGGUCUGGAGCCUCAGCAUGAGAUGUUAGUGGUUUGUGGUCAAAAAGGCCCACUUUCAGUUCCUAGUUCAUACGGUUUUAGUAGAAUUCAGGCAUACAUACAUUAAAUAAGAAAUAUUUCCUUUGUGGGUGUUUUUGCAAAAAAAGGAAGUUUGAAAAGUUUGCUACAUUUUCUCAAAAGCCCUUUUCCUCAUGUUGUUUAAGUUGACAUAUUAAAUACAUUGUUAAAAAACAAAUAUGCCUCUUUCAAAUGUGUGCACUUUGUACAUUACUUUACAGUUCUUGUUCUUACAGCUAACCGUGGUCCAAACAGUAUCUUUCAAUGCUACUUACAAAGACAAGGGAACCCAAAAAACAACCAUGCACAGUGCCUUCAGAAAGUAUUCAUACCCCUCGACUUAUUCCACAUUGUGUUGUUACAGCCUGAAUUCAACAUGGAUUAAAUCAUUUUCUCACCCAUCUACACACAAUACCACAUAAUGACGAAAUGUGUUGUACUCCGUGAUGUGUUGGAUUUUCCCCAAACAUAACACUUUGUAUUCAUGGAAAAGUUCAUUUCGUUGCCACUUUUACUUUAGUGCCUUAUUUCAAACAGGAUGCAUGUUUUGGAAUAUUUGUAUUCUGUAAUUAAUGUUAGUAUUGUGGAGUAACUACAAUGUACAUCCUCAGUUCUCCUGUCCCAGGCAUUAAACUCUGUUUUAACGUCA